CACGUAGGGGCGCGAGCGUUUGUCCGGAAUUAUUGGGCGUAAAGAGCUCGUAGGCGGCCUGUUGCGUCCGCUGUGAAAGCCCGGGGCUUAACCCCGGGUCGCAGUGGAUACGGGCAGACUAGAGGCAGGUAGGGGAGAACGGAAUUCCCGGUGUGAGCGGUGAAAUGCGCAGAUAUCGGGAGGAACACCGGUGGCGAAGGCGGUUCUCUGGGCCUGUACUGACGCUGAGGAGCGAAAGCGUGGGGAGCGAACAGG
Molecule: ribosomal RNA, 255 nt
Filed under: uncultured bacterium
Lineage: Bacteria
Description: partial 16S ribosomal RNA
Rfam family: Bacterial small subunit ribosomal RNA
Source: RNAcentral